RNAcentral lists this transfer RNA (62 nucleotides) under Contracaecum ogmorhini sensu lato Australia. Its description in RNAcentral is "tRNA-Ile". The record is from RNAcentral. Lineage: Eukaryota; Metazoa; Nematoda; Chromadorea; Rhabditida; Anisakidae.
ACUGCUUUAGUAAAAUUUUAUUAUGUCGUCUUGAUAAGGCGGAGUUCCGUUAGGUGAUAGUA